AGAAGAUUCCACGGUUUAAUCACACUCCAGCUCUUUUCAGAGCACCUUCUACGUGCCAGGGAUGGCAGAUGCUUAAGUACAUGCAGGCUGUGAAGUGAGUUGUAAAUAAGAUAUUGUUAUUAGGACUAUCCCUGAUAAGAAAGGCAUGUCCUCUGCACCUCUAAUCCUGGGCCACUGCUAUGCAUCCCCACUUAGAUGACCGACUGCAGUCGCUCAGAGCAAUUGUAGAGGAUGGCAAGGAAUCAACCUAUUUGGAUGAAGACGUUUUGUGGGCGGGCAGAGAAGAAAACUCUUGAGAGAAGGAAGCAUUGCCAGGGGCAUGGGAGCCUACAACUGCUGGUGCCUCAGUCCCAUCUUUGACCAAUUCAUUCAACAAACAUUUAUCAAGGAAUGUCUUUGUGCCAGACCCCAUCCUAGGCAUGGGGCAUGCAAGAAGGACAGGUCCCUGUACCCAUGGAACCCCCGUGCAGGAAGCAAAACAGGAAAUGAACAAUUAAACAAAUACACAGUGUAAUUUCAGAUCAUACUAAAUGGUGGAAAAUAAAGUGUGUUGAUGUGAUAGCAAGGGACUGGGGACUAGGGAGCGUCCGGGAUUGCUGUCUGUUAGGAGAUCAUAUUUGAGUUGAGACUCGAAUGCAGAGAAGGAAUCUACUGAGCGAAAACUAGUGGAAGAAGCACUUCUGUUCAACAUAGCAGUGGAACUCCUAG
This 708-nucleotide long non-coding RNA is filed under the name Homo sapiens (human). RNAcentral describes it as "non-protein coding lnc-NCOA3-4:1". Lineage: Eukaryota; Metazoa; Chordata; Mammalia; Primates; Hominidae. The record is from RNAcentral.